CAGUAGCCACGGUAAUACGUAGGUGGCAGGCGUUGUCCGGAAUUAUUGGGCGUAAAGGGCUCGCAGGCGGUUUCUUAAGUCUGAUGUGAAAGCCCCCGGCUCAACCGGGGAGGGUCAUUGGAAACUGGGAAACUUGAGUGCAGAAGAGGAGAGUGGAAUUCCACGUGUAGCGGUGAAAUGCGUAGAGAUGUGGAGGAACACCAGUGGCGAAGGCGACUCUCUGGUCUGUAACUGACGCUGAGGAGCGAAAGCGUGGGGAGCGAACAGGAUUAGAUACCCCCGUAGUCCCUGUCUCUUAUAC
RNAcentral lists this ribosomal RNA (301 nucleotides) under uncultured bacterium. RNAcentral describes it as "partial 16S ribosomal RNA". It matches the Rfam family "Bacterial small subunit ribosomal RNA", at positions 509 to 807 of the family's 1533-position model. The record is from RNAcentral.